GGUUUUCCUUUCAUCUUCCCGUCUUUUGCGUUCCUAAACGUCUUGAUCCUUUCCCAUUGAUUGAAACGAAACAGAGUGAACAGAUCCAAGAGUUGUUUGAUUUCGUGUUAAAAAAUGGGGCCUGGAAGUAGAGAAAUCUCUUCGGAGCAACAAUUUCAUGUUGAUUUUUGCCGUGUUCGUCUUCUCACGACAGACAGGAAGAAGAGGAGUGUUUUGUGAGGGAGCUAUUGAGACAGAGAGGAAGCACAAAGGAGGAGAAGAACUAAGUUUAUCUUUAAAGAUUAGGUUUCAACACACCGAGCUGCUCUCAAGUGUAGUCAGAAGUUGCUUUCUCAUCUAUCAAUGAUUAUUUGACAAGAGAGCAUCCUCAAUUCUUCAUAUAUCAAUUAUCACGGCACUCAAGUACAUCCACAUUGGUAUUUCAAUUUCUUUUGGUCUCUGACUUUACCUUUUUCAUCAUUCAAUCUCUUUAUGUGUAUAUAAUAUCUGUCUAGAGAUCACUGACUUCCACAGAUUAUAGCGUAUGUCAAAUUGUCUUUUAAACCUUAACAUUUACUCAGCUACUUAACCCACUGAUGUAGUAUACUGGCAUCAUGACGUUUCCUAAUAUCUCACUUAGUUUUGGCUUUUUGAAUUUUGGUCCCAUCGAGAUUUCUGGAGAUUUUAUUCUGUUUAAUAAUUUAUGUACCUCAGUUGUUGCACUUGCAGCUAAUGUCUAUCACAGAGAU
Long non-coding RNA from Brassica napus (rape), 728 nucleotides. RefSeq lists it as uncharacterized. The record is from RefSeq and is a predicted model, not a curated record. Lineage: Eukaryota; Viridiplantae; Streptophyta; Magnoliopsida; Brassicales; Brassicaceae. The transcript has 3 exons.